Long non-coding RNA from Megalobrama amblycephala (Wuchang bream), 1145 nucleotides. RefSeq lists it as uncharacterized. The record is from RefSeq and is a predicted model, not a curated record. Lineage: Eukaryota; Metazoa; Chordata; Actinopteri; Cypriniformes; Xenocyprididae. The transcript is spliced from 5 exons.
AUAAUAUUAUAGACAUCGACUUGAAGAAUGAAUGUAAUGCAAUAUACCAGACACAGGAAUUACUCUCAUUCCAUCUUUCAGUCUGUCAGAUUGCGCGAUAACCUUUCCAAACGGAAUGGAUGAGGAAGUUCGACAGUCUCUGCUAUUGGACUCUUGGAGAUUUGUUUUGCAUCAAGGCCUUCCCUGUGAUAUCCUCACUGCUACAGGGAAUUCAUACAAAGCCUGCUGGGAGCGUCACACAUUGUCUGCCCAUUGGCCAAGAACCUAGUGGUGCGUUAGUGAUGGUUGUUGUUUCUCAACUUACUGACCUUCAUGCAGUUUCCUUUACGCCACUGUAAAUGCUCAAGAGGGCUCACAACGGGGGAGAAAAAACAACAAAUACCUCAUGUAUGCUUUGGAAGACAAAUGCUGAUCUUUAAAACCGUCCACUCACUCAAUAAGCUCAAACAAGCAAGAAACCAAGAUGGGGGUCUCGGAAGGCCCCGCGGUAUUUGGAAUAGAGUAACGAUUGCCUUGCGACCUGACGUUCAGUCAAGAGACACUCAUGCACUGCACACUGGAUGUUUACAGCUCACUAGGCCUGCAGUCUGGGCCUGAUCGAUAUGCCCCUCUUUUUACGCUUCAGCUCUCAGCCGUCCACCCCGAAUGCCCGCAGACUGGACUUCAUGCUCCACCGAGAAAAGGCGCAUUCCAACAGGUCCUGUUUCUUCCGUGUCAUUGGGUGCCCAUCAGUGCUUCUGUCUGACAGAACAAAGCGGCAGGCGUCUCUCGGUCACCUUCCACGAUGGAGAAAUUCCUCUGUGGCAAAAAGGACAUAAGAAAAUAACCUAAUUUGUGGCACCGUGUUCAGGGUUACUAAAAAUACAUUAAGGCUUUUAUUUGCACUUCAGAAGGGUUGCGAUGAACCGCAGUGGCCUUGACUUCCACUGAAGACACUAAUGAAAGUUUUUUUUUUAUUAUUUUGGCCCACGGACAAAUGUAAUUUUUAGCUUUUUACAUCCAAGGCUAGUUUACUACUUGUAAAGCAAGUGAUUUCUAAGGUCCUAAUAUAAUGAAACUCAACAUAUGUGUCUAAAAAUGUGUCUUGAAAGAACAUUGAAACAAUGAAAUACAUAACCCUACACCAAUAAAGCCCUUGUGAACAA